This 572-nucleotide long non-coding RNA is filed under the name Mus musculus (house mouse). RNAcentral describes it as "Hand2, opposite strand 1". The record is from RNAcentral. Lineage: Eukaryota; Metazoa; Chordata; Mammalia; Rodentia; Muridae.
GGUGUGGCGAAUAUCCGUGUUCCUCCUGCUUAACUAGCCUGUUUGCAAAACAAAUGCAAUGGCGGGGGGCAGGAAUAACUAAUCUAAUACAGGUCUGGUAUUUCAUGAUUUGAGCAGUACUAUGCUAGACUGAGAUGUCAUUCAAAUUCCUGCCAUUUCUCUAACUUGUAUUCUCUGGCAAAAUGAAGGUCUGAUUCUAUUUAUUCUAAAGACAGAGUUGGAGAUGGGCUACCAUUGGUGUUGAUUGAGAUGACAAGCAGUCACCUGAGCCCAUACAGCUGUCAGUCCGCUAGCAAAACAUCAAACGUGAAUCAUCAUCAGUGACUCGAUUGAAGAGAAACCACAAGGCUCCCCUGAUCAGCAUAAGUCCGACGAAGCAGCAAGAAGCAACUGAAACUCCACCAGAAAUUCCUUAAUAAACUGGCUGACUAUACAGAAGCAGGACUUAGUCUUCGGGACUCUUGGGAACAGUGUUUACUGGCAUCCCACCAUGUCUCCUCUGUCCAGCUUAGAAUGUACCCUCGAACUCCUUACCCGAAUAAAGACUCCUUGGAAUGUCUCAGGAAACAAAA